This 333-nucleotide RNase P RNA is filed under the name Candidatus Saccharimonadota bacterium. Its description in RNAcentral is "RNase P RNA component class A". It matches the Rfam family "Bacterial RNase P class A". Rfam says of the family: Ribonuclease P (RNase P) is a ubiquitous endoribonuclease, found in archaea, bacteria and eukarya as well as chloroplasts and mitochondria. Its best characterised activity is the generation of mature 5'-ends of tRNAs by cleaving the 5'-leader elements of precursor-tRNAs. The record is from RNAcentral. Lineage: Bacteria; Candidatus Saccharimonadota.
GUAGAUUAUUGGGCAAUCGCUUGCUCACGCGAGAGGAAAGUCCGGGCAGCAUAGGACACGACAGUUGCUAACGGCAACCGGGGGCGACCCUAGGGAAAGUGCCACAGAAACGAAACUACCUGUCAAAAGGAAAAGGUGAAACGAGUGGGGUAAGAGCCCACAGCUACGUGUGGUGACGCAUGCAGAAGGUAAACCCUGUUGGCUGCAAGGGAUUUGUUCAUAUUAGCGGUCCGCUAGAAUAGAUCAAUUUAAUCCGCUCGAACCUAGGUGCAAAUCUAGGUCUAGAUAGAUGAUUGUUCACGACAGAACCCGGCUUAUAGAUAGUCUACCAAC